AUUUUUGCAAGUAUUAUGGUUUUCUUUUCGUAACAUGAUAGCUAUGUAAAAAAUAAAAAUAAAAAUAAAAUAAAAUAAUUGAAGAGAAACAUAAUAAUCCAAAUAUAACUAAUAAAAAUUAAAUUAGCACGUCUACAAAUACCUUGAAAUAUAGAAUGUUAUGAAAAUAUUAAAUUGAUAAAGUAUCAUUAAAAAAAAA
RNAcentral lists this long non-coding RNA (199 nucleotides) under Ricinus communis (castor bean). RNAcentral's name for it is "long non-coding RNA (RCOM_LNC001529)". The record is from RNAcentral. Lineage: Eukaryota; Viridiplantae; Streptophyta; Magnoliopsida; Malpighiales; Euphorbiaceae.